UCGGGUCGAAACCCGAAAGGAAUCGGGUCGGGUCAUCUGCUCGACGGCUUCCUUCCGCCGGGCCAAGAGAGGGGCUCAACCAGGGCUCAGAUAAUCCGACGGUCUUGCGCAGGGCGGACUCGGCGGCGUCGCGCUUCGACCUCGCUUUCGUCUCUUCCAAUACGCGCAGUUGGUCCACAUGAAGGCAUAGCUUCGGCCCGAGCACGAUCGACUCGCCUCCGUGGCGAAUCCGAAGCCUCUCUUCCCGCCCGGGCCUACAAGGUAAUUGACAGCUGCCUAGGUGGGACUAUGGGAAUUUGCAAAUGUCACAAACUUCGUUGGCUUCCAUGAAAGCAGAGGCAACUUACAGAUGACAGAUAAGACAAGCUUACAGAUCAUUAGGCUUUGUUUUCUCACAACACUUGCAUGACUGACAGAGAUGCCAUCUUAUUUGGUUGCCUCUAGAAAGUAUUUAUUAUGUAUGGCCUCCUUCCCUAGAGCUAUAAAAAGCAAAUAUAAGUAGCUCUUGGUAAAGUUAUAUUUCUGAACAACUAAGAUUAUGCUGAUGGAGAACAGCUAAAAGAAGGGUUUGCUCAGAAUCAAGCCUCGUGACAUAUCUAUUUCAGAAUCAUGCUUUUAGAGUACCUCUUCUAAUGUGAUAUAAUUGUGGGAGAAGUGGUCAUUGCACCCAAUUGUAGUACAGCUUCAUUUAAUAUCAUUUUUAUCAUCCACAUGGUAUCUUUUUAAUUAAGGCCCUUAGAGAACAUUAUUUCUUGAAGUUUUUCCUCAUCCACCUGAGCUGCAUAUAUUUUAGGGGCAAUUAUAUUUGUAAGCUUUUAAAAGUGAAAUUUUCAUGUCUACUUCUGUAACUAUGCAAAUAUUCGUAUGUAUCCAUAUAAAUGGGGUAUGUAUUUGUUGUUAGAUUCCUGCAUAUAUUAAACCCAUUAUAUCUGCUUAAUUAUGAUAUGUUUAGAUUUAUUUAAUUUAAAUCUUGAAAUACCUAAAAUAACCUUGUUCCUGUGCUCUUUUACAUUUGUUUCUGGUCUUGCCCUAUCUUUUCCUUUCGUUUAUUGUCAUUAACCCAUUUUUAUCCAUCUCUGUCGUAGCUUUGCAGAAAGAAAUUUCCCAAGGAAGGAGACCAAAUAGAUACGAGAGAAGAGGAAGCAAAGGUAAGGUGGAAUGGAGAAAGAGGUAACAGGCGAUGACAUACAAGAGAAAUAAAGAUGAAACUUUACGUAUCUUCCAUAAAGUUUCAUAGAGAACAAAUACAAAUUAUUUUUUUCCCAUUUAAACAUGCCAAAUUACAAUUAGGAAACACAGGUGUGGUGGGAAGAUUCAAUGCCGGUUAGAAACAUUGUUUAUGUUAUUAAUGGUGAUCUAAUACUUCAAAGUGUACUAGGAUUUUUGCUGCCUGCAAUGUUAGAUCGACCUUUUACUUUAUGUAAUUUGGACUUAGCUUCA
Molecule: long non-coding RNA, 1440 nt
Organism: Musa acuminata AAA Group (dessert banana)
Lineage: Eukaryota; Viridiplantae; Streptophyta; Magnoliopsida; Zingiberales; Musaceae
Exons: 2
Source: RefSeq, a predicted model, not a curated record